UACGUAGGGGGCAAGCGUUGUCCGGAUUUAUUGGGCGUAAAGAGCGUGUAGGCGGCCAAGCAGGUCCGCUGUGAAAACUCGAGGCUCAACCUCGAGACGUCGGUGGAAACCGUUUGGCUAGAGUCCGGAAGAGGAGAGUGGAAUUCCCGGUGUAGCGGUGAAAUGCGCAGAUAUCGGGAAGAACACCAGUGGCGAAGGCGGCUCUCUGGGACGGUACUGACGCUGAGACGCGAAAGCGUGGGGAGCGAACAGG
Molecule: ribosomal RNA, 253 nt
Filed under: uncultured bacterium
Lineage: Bacteria
Description: partial 16S ribosomal RNA
Rfam family: Bacterial small subunit ribosomal RNA
Source: RNAcentral